Molecule: ribosomal RNA, 119 nt
Filed under: Salmo salar (Atlantic salmon)
Lineage: Eukaryota; Metazoa; Chordata; Actinopteri; Salmoniformes; Salmonidae
Source: RNAcentral
GCUUACGGCCAUAUAAUCCUGGGUACGCCCGAUCUCGUCUGAUCUCGGAAGCUAAGCAGGGUCGGGCCUGGUUAGUACUUGGAUGGGAGACCGCCUGGGAAUACCAGGUGCUGUAAGCA